UAGAGAAGAGGUCUGAGUUUAUAGAGGAGGAAAGAGAGAGGUUAAUGAGAGUUAGUGUAUGACAGUGGUGUAAAGAUGUAGUACAGAAGGUUUCUAAAUUUAGAAGAAAAGUGGAUUUUGCUAAAGUAAGAGUUUGAUUAUGAUUCCACUAAAUUUAGGGAGGGAUUUGAAGAGACGACAGAAUCUGAUAGAUGUGUUGUGAGGACCGCAGAGAAGAUGAUGAAGACGAAGAUAUCGACAUGGUUGUCCCUUGUUGAGCUCUUGUGAAGGAAACGAAACGUUUUCUCGCUCGCGCCAUUAAAUCCUCUCUUC
This is a long non-coding RNA of Telopea speciosissima, 312 nucleotides long. RefSeq lists it as uncharacterized. The record is from RefSeq and is a predicted model, not a curated record. The transcript has 3 exons. Lineage: Eukaryota; Viridiplantae; Streptophyta; Magnoliopsida; Proteales; Proteaceae.